RNAcentral lists this ribosomal RNA (502 nucleotides) under uncultured bacterium. RNAcentral describes it as "bacterial SSU rRNA". It matches the Rfam family "Bacterial small subunit ribosomal RNA", at positions 32 to 529 of the family's 1533-position model. The record is from RNAcentral.
GAGACGCUAGCGGCAGGCUUAAUACAUGCAAGUCGAGGGGUAAGGCUCAUUUCGGUGAGUACACGACCGGCGCACGGGUGCGUAACGCGUAUGCAACCUACCUUUAACAGGGGGAUAGCCCGAAGAAAUUCGGAUUAACACCCCAUAAUAUUGUUUUAUGGCAUCAUAGGACAAUUAAAACUCCGGUGGUUAAAGAUGGGCAUGCGUGACAUUAGCUGGUUGGUGAGGUAACGGCUCACCAAGGCGACGAUGUCUAGGGGUUCUGAGAGGAUGAUCCCCCACACUGGUACUGAGACACGGACCAGACUCCUACGGGAGGCAGCAGUGAGGAAUAUUGGGCAAUGGAGGCAACUCUGACCCAGCCAUGCCGCGUGCAGGAAGACUGCCCUAUGGGUUGUAAACUGCUUUUAUACGGGAAGAAACCCAACUACGUGUAGUUGGCUGACGGUACCGUAAGAAUAAGCACCGGCUAACUCCGUGCCAGCAGCCGCGGUAAAGCCGA